UACGUAGGUGGCAAGUGUUGUCCGGAUUUACUGGGCGUAAAGGAUGCGUAGGCGGACAUUUAAGUCAGAUGUGAAAUACCCGGGCUCAACUUGGGUGCUGCAUUUGAAACUGGGUGUCUAGAGUGCAGGAGAGGAAAGCGGAAUUCCGAGUGUAGCGGUGAAAUGCGUAGAGAUUAGGAAGAACACCAGUGGCGAAGGCGGCUUUCUGGACUGUAACUGACGCUGAGGCAUGAAAGCGUGGGGAGCAAACAGG
RNAcentral lists this ribosomal RNA (253 nucleotides) under uncultured bacterium. RNAcentral describes it as "partial 16S ribosomal RNA". It matches the Rfam family "Bacterial small subunit ribosomal RNA", at positions 524 to 776 of the family's 1533-position model. The record is from RNAcentral.